Molecule: long non-coding RNA, 846 nt
Filed under: Marmota monax (woodchuck)
Lineage: Eukaryota; Metazoa; Chordata; Mammalia; Rodentia; Sciuridae
Source: RNAcentral
GCCAACCUUAUGGGUGACUGAGUUACACUCCCCAGCUGGGUGCUGAGGUGCUCAGUCACAGAAAUGGGUGUGUCUUGCUACAGCCCCAUGGGUGAAGCUAUGCUCACCUGUUCCUUUGUAAUAUAACCCCUUGCCCUGUUUAGGAUAGAAUCUUCCAUGGAAAUGCCUUGUGUGUGUCCCCUCCUCUUACUGUGCCCUUGGGUGUGGCCUACCCACGUGUCAGUCAACCUGCUGACAGUGGACAUCAUGAAGAUAGACUCAGCCCCCUGAAACCUGACCCCUCGCCUCAUUUGAAUAGCUUCUCCUCAAUAAAAGGGGUCAGCGCAUGCUCUCUCUCUCUCUUUCUGCGGACCCUUAAGGUCAGAGGAGCCGUCACAGCAACCCCAAAGAAAAAGGUAUUUGUGUCUCUUGUGUGGUUAUUUCGUGCAGCCCAGUUAGCCCAGUUUAACUAGAGUGACCCCUGAGCCUUUUAGUCGUGAGAACAGAAACCCGGCAAUCCUACUCCCAUUCAGUGAGACUCUAUGCACAUUAAGGAAAAAAUUUGGUUUGAUUUUAAACACAAAGAUCUUAGCACAAAUAAAUGAAUAACAAAAAGUAUUCUUGUCAGCUAAGGAUUUGUUUCCUUGUUUUAGGUUAUCUUAUCUGCAGUGGAAUACAGGAAAUAAUUGCAAAUAAUACUGGGUGCAAAUCCUUUAGAAAGAAUUUGAAGAAAAGGUACAUUCACAAUAAUUAGGAAAAUUUUCACCUUUAAGACCAACAUUUUGAACUAAUUCUACAGGGAAAGAGUUUUUAUGUGGUGUAAGGAUUGAACCCAGUGCCUCACACUCUGCCACUGAGGUAUAACCC